Molecule: long non-coding RNA, 2244 nt
Filed under: Homo sapiens (human)
Lineage: Eukaryota; Metazoa; Chordata; Mammalia; Primates; Hominidae
Description: HSALNT0379225
Source: RNAcentral
CAAGCCCUUCAUUCUGCAGCUGAGGCUCACUGCCCCCAGUGGGCAGUGGGUCCAGGGGGUUUCUGAGGACAGGGCAUGACCCAGCCCUGCUGCCCCCAAGAUGGCACCUGGCUUGGAGGGGUGAGGGGCCCUGUUAGUCUGACUUUGAAGAAGACCAGCCUUCCAGACUCGCUUGGUGCCCUGACAGGUAUGUGUGCUCUUCUCUCUCCCACCUAACAGCCCCUUUUGGGAGACAGGGUCUGAGAGGAGUCAGGGUCGUAUAACCUUAACACAGUGUGUUAUCCAAAAACCCACUAACCCUGUUACUCUUGUCUGUCUGCUAUGUGAAACCAAGGGCGGUGUUAAAGUUUAUCACCAUGAUAUACAGAUGUGCGUGGGGACAUCUGGGAUGGGGCUCAGGGGUCUACCUGGAGGUCAGAGAGGGCAGGAUCUGCUUAGGGGAGAUGGAUGACUGUGGGGGUCAGACAGGGCAGGGUUUGCUUAGGGGAGAUGGAUGACUGUGGACAUGUGGCUGUAAAUCAUCCUCCCCGUCUUACAUAGGAUGGGGAUGCAACUUUCAAGAGUUGCCUUGAUUGGUACCUUAAAGGAAAUAAAACAUAAAAUGCUUGGCACAUAGUAGAUGCUCAACACAUGUAGAAAAGGCACUUAUUUUAGGUGGAUCUGCCGCCGAAUGGCCCUUUUGCAAGCUCUUCUCAUUUUUUGGAAUCCAAAGGGAAGGUGUGGGGAGCAGGGUCGGGGUGGAGGGGAAGGACGACGUGAGGUUGCAGAGGGCAUUUUCUUGAGGCAAUGGCAUAUCUUUCAUUGGUACUGGCUGGGUUUAUGCGGACUUUGAGAGGAGUGGAGUGUCUCCAAGUGGGGCUACCCCAGCCUGCAGGUUGGAUGCAGGUAACCUCAGUCUGGGCACUGCAUUUUUAUUUACCAUAAAAAUAUUUCAUAUUUGCUGGGUGUGGUGGCUCACGCUUAUAAUCCCAGCACUUUCGGAGGCCGAGGCCGGUGGAUCACCUGAGGCCAGGAGUUUGAGACCAGCCUGGCCAACAUGGUGAAACCCCGUCUCUACAAAAAUACACAAAAUUAGCUGGGCGUGGUGGUGCAUGCCUGUAGUUCCAGCUACUCAGGAGACUGAGGCAUGAGAAUUGCUCGAACCUGGAAGGCAGAAGUUGCAGUUAGCCGAGAUUGCACCAUUGCACUCCAGCCUGGGUGACAGCAAGACUCCGUCUCAAAAAAAAAAAAAAGAAAGAAAAAUUGCAAAACUAUAGCAAUCACCUCAAGGUUUUCACAGGAAUCAAACUCAGUCCAAACUAAAAUGCUGUGUAAUAAAUAGUGGGGCUUCACGUGCAGGAAAGGCGAUUAAGAGCGAGGCAUGCAGGCCGAGGGCUGCUUAACCUGUCUCAGAUUUCUUCCGCACAAAGUCAUGGUUGAAAAUAGGUCUCUGCCUGGCAGAGGGUAAAGAAGUUCUCGAAGGCCUCUGUCUGCAUUAGCUUGGUGAGAGGGAAGACAUUUAACCAAUUAACCAAUUAGUGAUCUGUGCGGAUGGAGACUGAGCAGGACGAGGGUGCCACCCGACUGGGUGUAAAGUGGGCUUAGUUUUGUCUUCUUGGUGUCUGGGAGCCUCAGUGCCUUUCUACGUAGAUGGGAGUAUGCUUGUCACAUCCUUGUCACACAAGUAACCCUGUGCCUGUUUGAGGAUUCCAAGAGCCUGUGACGGCUGCAGGGGGCCCUGAAGCUUAGUGUGCAACUGACAGUUAGAAAUGCCAGUGCCGUUUAGCCACAGUCCCUCUGGGUUAGAGUCGGGAAGAAACAUGGCAGUUGUGUGUUUUGCACAGGAAUCAAGCUGUCAGGGGGCACAGUGAGGCCCCAGCUCCUUACCAGCAAGCCGUCUAGGCUGCGAACGCGAGCCGCCGGGCCGCAGCUCUCUAGAGGUCCCUGUCCCCACCGCCUGGCCCCAUCUCAUGUCACAUUCCCCCAAGGUCUCAUUCCACUCGGCUAAUCUCCAAGAACACCGGCCAGGGCAUUGGCUUUCGGGUCCUUUUAAAGACCAAAAAGUAAAGCACUCCCCCGUGGGUGCUGGACAGCUUGGGAGGGAUUUGGGGCUGUGGGUGGUGAAAUCACAGCCCUGGGCACACACCUGCCAGCCCGAUGUCACUGACAGGCUGCUCGGAGGCUUGGGGCUCCAGUGAGAGCAUAUAGAUAUUUUUUAAAAAACAUAUUCGCGAUAAAAUAAAUCCCCUGUGUCUGCAGAACUUG